Molecule: unclassified non-coding RNA, 552 nt
Filed under: Athalia rosae (coleseed sawfly)
Lineage: Eukaryota; Metazoa; Arthropoda; Insecta; Hymenoptera; Athaliidae
Description: misc RNA ENSAEAG00005007369.1
Source: RNAcentral
GUCAAGCAAACAAUGAAGAAUUGAAAGCAAUUUAAAGAAAAAGUAAAACUUUAAAUUCUACCUUCUUUCGAAUGAAAAUUUGAAUUGUGCAGUGAUACUUUGAUGUAACGAGACACUUCAGAGCUGAAUACGGUUCAGAGAAUAAGAACAGUGAUAUCGUAUUAACCAGAGAGGAAAAAGCAGUUUACAAAGAAAAAUCCGUGAAAACGUGUACAAAAAUAUCUCUCCAAUAAUUCCAUCGAGUCAGUUAAAUAAGUAUUACAGAAUUUUCCGUUUUGAAGUCAGAUGAAGAAGCAAAGUAAAUUUAAAUGCGGGGAACAGUUUUGUUGAAGUCUGUAAAGUAGUCUCAGAGCUGGACAUAUUUUUACCCGAGAGUAGACAGGAAGCCAGCAACAUUUCCCUCGGCGUAAAGGCUGACGAUAUCGCCAAGGUGAAGGAAGCUAGCCGAACCCAGGAUUUCUCCCAUCUUAAGAUUCGCUCCGAUCUUCUGCUAUAGACUACGAGGACCUUUAUUCUUGCUGGUGUUGCAUUGCCUGGAACAGGAUUUCAUCA